GACAGAGGGUGCAAACGUUGCUCGGAAUUACUGGGCGUAAAGCGCGUGUAGGCGGGUCGGAAAGUCGGGCGUGAAAGCCCCAGGCUCAACCUGGGAACUGCACUCGAAACUUCCGGUCUAGAGUGGUGGAGAGGGAAGUGGAAUUCCUGGUGUAGAGGUGAAAUUCGUAGAUAUCAGGAGGAACACCAGUGGCGAAGGCGGCUUCCUGGACACCAACUGACGCUGAGACGCGAAAGCGUGGGGAGCAAACAGGAUUAGAAACCCUGGUAGUCC
Molecule: ribosomal RNA, 273 nt
Filed under: uncultured bacterium
Lineage: Bacteria
Description: partial 16S ribosomal RNA
Rfam family: Bacterial small subunit ribosomal RNA
Source: RNAcentral